This 468-nucleotide ribosomal RNA is filed under the name uncultured bacterium. RNAcentral describes it as "partial 16S ribosomal RNA". It matches the Rfam family "Bacterial small subunit ribosomal RNA", at positions 28 to 507 of the family's 1533-position model. The record is from RNAcentral.
GACGAACGCUGGCGGCGUGCUUAACACAUGCAAGUCGAACGGAAAGGCCCUGCUUUUGUGGGUUGCUCGAGUGGCGAACGGGUGAGUAACACGUGAGUAACCUGCCCUUGACUUUGGGAUAACUUCAGGAAACUGGGGCUAAUACCGGAUAGGAGCUCCUGCUGCAUGGUGGGGGUUGGAAAGUUUCGGCGGUUGGGGAUGGACUCGCGGCUUAUCAGCUUGUUGGUGGGGUAGUGGCUUACCAAGGCUUUGACGGGUAGCCGGCCUGAGAGGGUGGACGGCCACAUGGGGACUGAGAGACGGACCAGACUCCUACGGGAGGCAGCAGUGGGGAAUAUUGCACAAUGGGCGGAAGCCUGAUGCGGCAACGCCGCGUGCGGGAUGACGGCUUUCGGGUUGUAAACCGCUUUGGAAUGUGACGAAGCGUGAGUGACGGUAAUGGGUAAAGAAGCACCGGCUAACUACGUG